GGAGAGAUGCUCGAGUGGCUGAAGAGGCGCGUCUGGAAAGCGCGUGACCGCCCAAAGCGGUUCCAGGGUUCGAAUCCCUGUCUCUCCG
RNAcentral lists this transfer RNA (88 nucleotides) under Bacteroidales bacterium. Its description in RNAcentral is "tRNA-Ser". It matches the Rfam family "tRNA". Rfam says of the family: Transfer RNA (tRNA) molecules are approximately 80 nucleotides in length. Their secondary structure includes four short double-helical elements and three loops (D, anti-codon, and T loops). Further hydrogen bonds mediate the characteristic L-shaped molecular structure. tRNAs have two regions of fundamental functional importance: the anti-codon, which is responsible for specific mRNA codon recognition, and the 3' end, to which the tRNAs corresponding amino acid is attached (by aminoacyl-tRNA synthetases). tRNAs cope with the degeneracy of the genetic code in two manners: having more than one tRNA (with a specific anti-codon) for a particular amino acid; and 'wobble' base-pairing, i.e. permitting non-standard base-pairing at the 3rd anti-codon position. Lineage: Bacteria; Pseudomonadati; Bacteroidota; Bacteroidia; Bacteroidales. The record is from RNAcentral.